ACUCCUACGGGAGGCAGCAGUGGGGAAUAUUGCACAAUGGGCGCAAGCCUGAUGCAGCCAUGCCGCGUGUAUGAAGAAGGCCUUCGGGUUGUAAAGUACUUUCAGCGGGGAGGAAGGGAGUAAAGUUAAUACCUUUGCUCAUUGACGUUACCCGCAGAAGAAGCACCGGCUAACUCCGUGCCAGCAGCCGCGGUAAUACGGAGGGUGCAAGCGUUAAUCGGAAUUGCUGGGCGUAAAGCGCACGCAGGCGGUUUGUUAAGUCAGAUGUGAAAUCCCCGGGCUCAACCUGGGAACUGCAUCUGAUACUGGCAAGCUUGAGUCUCGUAGAGGGGGGUAGAAUUCCACGUGUAGCGGUGAAAUGCGUAGAGAUC
This 371-nucleotide ribosomal RNA is filed under the name uncultured bacterium. Its description in RNAcentral is "bacterial SSU rRNA". It matches the Rfam family "Bacterial small subunit ribosomal RNA", at positions 335 to 698 of the family's 1533-position model. The record is from RNAcentral.